This 395-nucleotide ribosomal RNA is filed under the name uncultured bacterium. RNAcentral describes it as "bacterial SSU rRNA". It matches the Rfam family "Bacterial small subunit ribosomal RNA", at positions 355 to 767 of the family's 1533-position model. The record is from RNAcentral.
UGGGGAAUCUUGCACAAUGGAGGAAACUCUGAUGCAGCGACGCCGCGUGAGCGAAGAAGCCUUUCGGGGUGUAAAGCUCUUACGCCAGGGACGAUAAUGACGGUACCUGGAGAAGCAGCUGCGGCUAACUACGUGCCAGCAGCCGCGGUAAUACGUAGGCAGCAAGCGUUGUUCGGAAUUACUGGGCGUAAAGGGUGCGUAGGCGGCGCUCUAAGUUUGGUGUGAAUUCUCCCGGCUUAACUGGGAGGGUGCACUGAAAACUGGGGCGCUCGAGUAUGGGAGAGGAAAGCGGAAUUCCUGGUGUAGCGGUGAAAUGCGUAGAGAUCAGGAGGAACACCUGCGGUGCAGACGGCUUUCUGGACCAUCACUGACGCUGAGGCACGAAAGCGUGGGUA